This 797-nucleotide ribosomal RNA is filed under the name Marphysa chirigota. RNAcentral's name for it is "partial large subunit ribosomal RNA". The stretch from base 382 to 541 matches the Rfam family "Archaeal large subunit ribosomal RNA", at positions 1884 to 2089 of the family's 2987-position model. The record is from RNAcentral. Lineage: Eukaryota; Metazoa; Annelida; Polychaeta; Eunicida; Eunicidae.
CCCAGAAAACAAUGUCACAAUAUUGUUUCUAAAGUAUUUAUCAGAGGCUACAUACCUAUCGCACUAAAUAAUAGCUGGUUUUUCAGUUAUCAGUCUAAUCUGCUCAAGCUACUUAACAUCGCACUCUUAUCUCAGCUAUGAAAAAAAAUCAAGGACAAGCUUGAUUUCAUACACUUAUUUAAUUAAAACUCCCCUCUACGUAGGCCUAAAAUCAGCCAACAUAAUACUACGUUAUAGUAAACAAACUAAAAUAUCAAAACAAUACCAAACCUCUGAAAUAUACUAUAAAACCCUUUAUAGUCCCAACUAUGCAAAGAUUAGUAUUUUAAUCCACUAAACCCAUUAAUACCCCAUAUGUAAAUAAGGAACUCGGCAACCACUCAUUCCGACUGUUUAACAAAAACAUUGCCUGUAGCCCCCACUAUUACAGGUACACCCUGCCCAGUGUUAUUAUCAACGGCCGCGGUACCCUGACCGUGCAAAGGUAGCAUAAUAAUUUGCCUUUUAAUUGAAGGCUAGUAUGAAAGGGCAAACGAGAAUGACCCUGUCUCAUUAAUAUUCAUAAAAAUUUAUCUUCAGGUGAAGAAGCCUGAAUCUAUAUAAAAGACAAGAAGACCCUGUCGAGCUUUAAUUUAAUAUACGAUCCCUAAAAUUCACGGUACUCCCCCUCGUAUAAAAAUUUUUGUUGGGGCGACAACGGAACCCACUAAUCUUCCGCCAAACCAAAGACCUUAUGUCACUCAAACGAUCCUUUAUUGAUCACAAAACUUAGCUACCGCAGGGAUAACAGACUAAUC